RNAcentral lists this ribosomal RNA (268 nucleotides) under uncultured Gammaproteobacteria bacterium. Its description in RNAcentral is "partial 16S small subunit ribosomal RNA". It matches the Rfam family "Bacterial small subunit ribosomal RNA", at positions 1106 to 1373 of the family's 1533-position model. Lineage: Bacteria; Pseudomonadati; Pseudomonadota; Gammaproteobacteria. The record is from RNAcentral.
UAUCCUUGUUUGCCAGCGAGUAAUGUCGGGAACUCCAGGGAGACUGCCGGUGAUAAACCGGAGGAAGGUGGGGACGACGUCAAGUCAUCAUGGCCCUUACGAGUAGGGCUACACACGUGCUACAAUGGCGCAUACAGAGGGCAGCGAGCUAGCGAUAGUGAGCGAAUCCCAAAAAGUGCGUCGUAGUCCGGAUUGGAGUCUGCAACUCGACUCCAUGAAGUCGGAAUCGCUAGUAAUCGUAGAUCAGAAUGCUACGGUGAAUACGUUC